Molecule: ribosomal RNA, 252 nt
Filed under: uncultured bacterium
Lineage: Bacteria
Description: partial 16S ribosomal RNA
Rfam family: Bacterial small subunit ribosomal RNA
Source: RNAcentral
GACGAACCGUGCGAACGUUGUUCGGAAUCACUGGGCUUAAGGGCGCGUAGGCGGGCCUUCAAGUCCGGGGUGAAAUCCUCCAGCCUAACUGGAGAAGAGCCUCGGAGACUGAGGGCCUCGAGGAGGGUAGGGGCAAGCGGAACUAUGGGUGGAGCGGUGAAAUGCAUUGAUAUCCAUAGGAACUCCGGUGGCGAAGGCGGCUUGCUGGACCCUUUCUGACGCUGAGGCGCGAAAGCCAGGGGAGCAAACGGG